GACCCGACUGCUAUUUGGGUGAGAAUAAGCCAUGCGAGUUGAAUGGGAUACCUAAAGUUCCCAUAGCAAACUGCUCAGUAACACAUGAUCAACUUACCCUAUAGAGAAAAAUAACCUCGGGAAACUGAGGAUAAUGUUUCAUAAUUGAAUUGGCUUGGAAAAGUUUUUCAAUGAAAAGGAUAAAAAAAAUGGUUUUUAUCUGCUAUAGGAUAGGAUCGUGUUCGAUUAUGGUUGUUGGUGAGAUAAUGGCUCACCAAGCCGAUAAUCGAUAGGGGCCGUGAGAGCGGGAGCCCCGAGAUGGGUACUGAGACAACGACCCAGGCCUUACGAGGCGCAGCAGGCGCGGAACCUCCGCAAUACACGAAAGUGUGACGGGGUUACCCAAAGUGUUCAAUUUGAACUGUGGUAGGUGAGUAAUGUCCCCUACUAGAAAGGAGAGGGCAAGGCUGGUGCCAGCCGCCGCGGUAAAACCAGCUCUUCAAGUGGUCGGGAUAAUUAUUGGGCUUAAAGUGUCCGUAGCCGGUUUAGUAAGUUCCUGGUAAAAUCGGGUAGCUUAACUAUCUGCAUGCUAGGAAUACUGCUAUACUAGAGGGCGGGAGAGGUCUGAGGUACUACAGGGGUAGGGGUGAAAUCUUAUAAUCCUUGUAGGACCACCAGUGGCGAANGCGUCAGACUGGAACGCGCCUGACGGUGAGGGACGAAAGCCANGGGAGCGAACCGGAUUAGAUACCCGGGUAGUCCUGGCCGUAAACGAUGCAUACUANGUGAUGGUA
This 773-nucleotide ribosomal RNA is filed under the name uncultured archaeon. RNAcentral describes it as "bacterial SSU rRNA". It matches the Rfam family "Archaeal small subunit ribosomal RNA", at positions 20 to 779 of the family's 1478-position model. The record is from RNAcentral.